RNAcentral lists this small RNA (81 nucleotides) under Martelella mediterranea. RNAcentral's name for it is "suhB". The stretch from base 1 to 71 matches the Rfam family "Alphaproteobacterial ar15", at positions 44 to 112 of the family's 112-position model. The record is from RNAcentral. Lineage: Bacteria; Pseudomonadati; Pseudomonadota; Alphaproteobacteria; Hyphomicrobiales; Aurantimonadaceae.
AGCUGUUCCCCUCUGGAGGUUUUGAGAGACCUUCUAACUCAAAGGGCCCCGUUUUUCGGUGGCCCUCUUUUUUUGCCUGCA